RNAcentral lists this long non-coding RNA (386 nucleotides) under Physcomitrium patens. Its description in RNAcentral is "long non-coding RNA (PPAT_LNC003521)". The record is from RNAcentral. Lineage: Eukaryota; Viridiplantae; Streptophyta; Bryopsida; Funariales; Funariaceae.
UAAUUUAGAUAAUUUUUUGCUAAUCAUAUUCCAUGUGUAUAGACUAUGUAAAAAAAUUCCAUUUUGAUAUGUGGUGUAAUUGAGUUUUUAGUCAAUAUAUAAAUGUAAAUUAUAUUUAAUAUGCUUGUUCUAUAAAUAUUAAUAUUAUAAACUAUGUAUAUUUCUAGAUGAAUUAUAUUCACUUUUUAUUUGUAUAAGUAUUUUUUUUCAUAUAUCUUUAUGACAUGUGACAUAAGAUGGAAUUUUAAGCAAUUUAUAAAAAACCUACAAUGUUAUUCAAUUUAAAUUAUAAUUUUUUUGUAAUUUAUUUUUUUAUUAAGUGAAAUUAGUCGAUUUUUUAUUUUAUCAUUGGAUACCAAUAAAAUAAUAUUUCAAAAAAUAAGAUC